GAUGAACGCUAGCGGCAGGCUUAACACAUGCAAGUCGAGGGGUAGUCUAGCAAUAGAUGAGACCGGCGCACGGGUGCGUAACGCGUAUGCAAUCUACCUUUUACAGAGGGAUAGCCCAGAGAAAUUUGGAUUAAUACCUCAUAGUAUAACGACUCGGCAUCGAGAUGUUAUUAAAGUUCCAACGGUAAAAGAUGAGCAUGCGUCCCAUUAGCUAGUUGGUGUGGUAACGGCACACCAAGGCAACGAUGGGUAGGGGUCCUGAGAGGGAGAUCCCCCACACUGGUACUGAGACACGGACCAGACUCCUACGGGAGGCAGCAGUGAGGAAUAUUGGUCAAUGGGCGCAAGCCUGAACCAGCCAUGCCGCGUGCAGGAUGACGGUCCUAUGGAUUGUAAACUGCUUUUGUACAGGAAGAAACACUCCCUCGUGAGGGAGCUUGACGGUACUGUAAGAAUAAGGAUCGGCUAACUCCGUGCCAGCAGCCGCGGUAAUACGGAGGAUCCAAGCGUUAUCCGGAAUCAUUGGGUUUAAAGGGUCCGUAGGCGGGUUUAUAAGUCAGUGGUGAAAGCCCAUCGCUCAACGAUGGAACGGCCAUUGAUACUGUAGAUCUUGAAUUAUUAGGAAGUAACUAGAAUAUGUAGUGUAGCGGUGAAAUGCUUAGAGAUUACAUGGAAUACCANUUGCGAAGGCAGGUUACUACUAAUGGAUUGNCGCUGAUGGACGAAAGCGUGGGUAGUGAACAGGAUUAGAUACCCUGGUAGUCCACGCCGUAACGAUGGAUACUAGCUGUUCGGAGCAAUCUGAGUGGNUAAGCGAAAGUGAUAAGUAUCCCACCUGGGGAGUACGUUCGCAAGAAUGAA
Molecule: ribosomal RNA, 861 nt
Filed under: uncultured bacterium
Lineage: Bacteria
Description: bacterial SSU rRNA
Rfam family: Bacterial small subunit ribosomal RNA
Source: RNAcentral